AAAACUUUCAACAACGGAUCUCUUGGUUCUGGCAUCGAUGAAGAACGCAGCGAAAUGCGAUAAGUAAUGUGAAUUGCAGAAUUCAGUGAAUCAUCGAAUCUUUGAACGCACAUUGCGCCCCCUGGUAUUCCGGGGGGCAUGCCUGUUCGAGCGUCAUUG
This 159-nucleotide ribosomal RNA is filed under the name Rusavskia elegans. RNAcentral's name for it is "5.8S ribosomal RNA". It matches the Rfam family "5.8S ribosomal RNA". Rfam says of the family: 5.8S ribosomal RNA (5.8S rRNA) is a component of the large subunit of the eukaryotic ribosome. It is transcribed by RNA polymerase I as part of the 45S precursor that also contains 18S and 28S rRNA. The record is from RNAcentral. RNAcentral also lists the same sequence under 18 other names. Lineage: Eukaryota; Fungi; Ascomycota; Lecanoromycetes; Teloschistales; Teloschistaceae.